AUGCCACGAUGCGGGGACGUGUUUGUGCCAUACCCGUUCGGCAUUGGCCCAAACGUCAACUGCUACCUACCGGGGUUCAACCUCACGUGUGACACGAAACAUCAACCCCCGCAACUGCUCCAUGGCAAUGGCCAGUUCCGGGUCGUCGAUAUCCCUCUUGACGACACCACGGUGCGCAUCAUGCCCAGCUCGGCGGUCAGUGCCCACGAGGUCACUGGAGUGCUCGGUCGAUUCCCUUCCUAUUUCGACAGGGACAUGCCCUACGCUCUGUCCACGAGCAACGAGCUCGUCCUGACAGGGUGCAAUGCGCAAGCAACGCUGUUGGGGCACGGUAAUCCCGCCGUCAUCAGCACAUGCGCCUCCUUGUGUCCCCGCAACGAGACCGCCGGCACGGCCGGUACGGUCUUCGCGGAUCAGGGGUGGCCAACGGAUGGUAUCCAUGGUAGAAACCGCAGCGGCAAGUACUGCUACGGCAUGGGAUGCUGCCAGGCACGCAUCUCCGAGUCCAUGGAUGGAAUGCACAAGGAGUUGCGCUUCAAAUGGUUUGACAACAAGGAAUUUCCCCAGCACAUGUCCAUCGCAGAGGAGGGAUGGUUUGAUAAGCCAGGCGUCGCCAGCUGGCCCCACCCUCUCUCCCCUCCCACCCCCACCGCACACACCCCCACCCCACCCAAACCCUUAGCCUUGCGCCCCUCCUCUCUUCCCCUCUCCCCCCAUCUCAAAUCCUUAUCAAAUCUUGCAUAUCCGGAGUAUUUGACCGUGGAUUUCGAAGCCAACCCCUCCUUUAAGGUAAUCUCCUCCGAUCCCCUCGUUUUCAUCCAUAGGAAUUGGAUGGGGAGAACAUGUGUUUAUGUUCAUCAUGUGGAUAAAGAGGCCUUUUUGAAAGAUAAUGCUGAGCCAGACCUGGAUGAGCUUGACAUGGUGUUUGAGAGUAGUCCUAGCUAUGCGGAGCUCUUGGAACAAAUGAGGAAUGAUUUGAAUUGGAUGGACCCAAGUGACGUUGUUGAGUUCGAGGGAAGGCAUAAUGUUGGUUUUGGAAUGCACAUCCAUUGGAAGACAAUGCGUGUGAACUCCGAGCAACGUUCGGUUGCAUACAAGGAGACGGUUGCCGAAUCUCUAGAGAAGGCUCUUGAGUUAUAUGCCUCCAAGAAGGUUGAGUCUACUUUGAAUUUGGACUUGAACCGGAACCCCUCCCCGUUGGUUGCUAGCAGUCCCCCACCCAUGAACCAAGAUCAAAUGAACAAUGGACCAAUCCAUCCCUUUUCCCGUGCAUAUGCAUCAGACUCCGAUGAUGAUGGUCCCGAUGAAGAAGUUGAUGAGGAGGGGUUCACGCCCAAGGAGGCCCAAGCAUUCAAGAAGAUAUUCGGGCGGGAUCAGAAGACACCAUUGUUCAAGGAUCUUAGUCUCGCGGAUGAAGCCAUUGUGGAUGGUGGCAAAUGCAUAUCUCUUGGAGCUAGGCCAAGUUCUCAUCGUGAUUUGGAAGACGGCAAGAACGGGAUAUAUCCCGGUUGUGAGUUUCAAUCCUUCUUGGAAUUGAAGAUGUGA
RNAcentral lists this ribosomal RNA (1545 nucleotides) under Triticum aestivum (bread wheat). Its description in RNAcentral is "partial small subunit ribosomal RNA". Lineage: Eukaryota; Viridiplantae; Streptophyta; Magnoliopsida; Poales; Poaceae. The record is from RNAcentral.